Molecule: ribosomal RNA, 369 nt
Filed under: uncultured bacterium
Lineage: Bacteria
Description: bacterial SSU rRNA
Rfam family: Bacterial small subunit ribosomal RNA
Source: RNAcentral
AUUGAACGCUGGCGGCAUGCCUUACACAUGCAAGUCGAACGGCAGCACGGGAGCAAUCCUGGUGGCGAGUGGCGAACGGGUGAGUAAUAUAUCGGAACGUGCCCAGUCGUGGGGGAUAACGUAGCGAAAGCUACGCUAAUACCGCAUACGAUCUAUGGAUGAAAGCGGGGGAUCGCAAGACCUCGCGCGAUUGGAGCGGCCGAUAUCAGAUUAGGUAGUUGGUGAGGUAAAGGCUCGCCAAGCCGACGAUCUGUAGCUGGUCUGAGAGGACGACCAGCCACACUGGGACUGAGACACGGCCCAGACUCCUACGGAGGGCAGCAGUGGGGAAUUUUUGGGACAAUGGGCGGCAAGCCUGAUCCAGCAAUG